AAACCUUUUCAAAAGGAAAAAAACCUGUUCUUAUCAGUUUAAUAUCUGAUAUGUCCUUUAUACGAGGACAAACAUAUUAAAGUGAUUUUUAGAGCUGGGAUCUGAAAAAGGGUCUUGCUCCGUUCCAUUGCAGUGCCGCCGGGUACAGUGCAACCUUC
Molecule: small nuclear RNA, 158 nt
Filed under: Seriola lalandi dorsalis
Lineage: Eukaryota; Metazoa; Chordata; Actinopteri; Carangiformes; Carangidae
Description: U2 spliceosomal RNA (ENSSLDG00000020511.1)
Rfam family: U2 spliceosomal RNA
About the family: U2 is a small nuclear RNA (snRNA) component of the spliceosome (involved in pre-mRNA splicing). Complementary binding between U2 snRNA (in an area lying towards the 5' end but 3' to hairpin I) and the branchpoint sequence (BPS) of the intron results the bulging out of an unpaired adenosine, on the BPS, which initiates a nucleophilic attack at the intronic 5' splice site, thus starting the first of two transesterification reactions that mediate splicing.
Source: RNAcentral